CUACUGUAAUUUGGUUGUAUACUUUAAUUCGUAAGUUUUCUGCUAGGGGUGCUCAAUGCGGCUAAAUAUUCUGUCUAUAAAUGUACUUAUAAUAACUGGCAAACGUAGUUAACAUGUCAUUGCUUUACAAAAUAAGCAGAGCAUUGUUUUAUUGGACUUGCGUUAUUAAUGUAUGUGCUUUACUACUUCAUUAAAGGUUUUGAGACCUCACUGAUGAGCAGCAGCCCACUAGUAUCUUGCACUCUGUGCCGUUUAUCGGUUCGAAUUGUACGACGGGAAUAUUUGCAAACGGGGUGGUCGUUUCCUUUGAGCAGCAUCACGCAGGUUCGUUUUAAUUAGCAAUAAUAUUUCAGCCAGUUUAUGCGUCCAACAUUCGAUAGCCGCCACCAGGCGAACCUGUUUAAAGACGGUGAAAUUCAUCAGCUAUGGCGUUUCACUGGCAUAAUGGCGGCACGACUUCCAUCAUUAGUGAUCUUCCGCGUUAAUUAUCUUCCGCGUAAUGACAUGUUGCUUAGAAAAAAAUUUGCUAGCUAGCAUAAAAAUUCAUCACUGGAACCAAGUACAGUCUGCUUGGAGACUACCCACGAAUGUGGAUUAACGUUGCAGCCUCUGAGUUUGUGCACCGGUGAGUUAAGCAUUCCUUCGCAUUCUCAACUUUGAAUUUCUUUGCAUGCGAGGCGGAUAAAACCGAUUCCUGUAGUCAUUUUCUAAAAGUGGAAAGUAAUAAUUAUUAUAAAGUUAUUGCUCUUCAAAGGCAAUUCAAAUGAGGCUCUUGUUUUUUUGUCUUGUCGCUAAAAUUCCCAACACGGACUACAGCGUGAAUAAGUAGUUUUGCUUGUUUGUGUACAAAGGAUACACUGCAAUAAAUUAACUGCUCAUUAGUGGCAACCAUACUUCCUGUGAUACAGUUAGAUUAAUUGUAUUUGAGAUAGAAUAAAAUGACUAGUGUUUAUUACCUAAUAUCUGACAGAUAAAAUGUCAUCUAAUCGAGGCCUCACUAAGCACAGCCCACACAAAGAUACCAUUGAAAGGAAUGCACAUGCGAAACAGUGUUGUGUGUGUGUGUGUGCUUUCCUGCCAUGGAGCGUUUUGUAUACCAUUCUUGGUCAUACAUGGAUCACAAGCUCAAUCACUCUUACACCAUAGUAACCGAGUCUUUUUUUUUUUUUUCUUUCAACUCCAGCCUCCAAGAUGCUGCUUGCACUUGUUCACCCCUUUGGACUCUAUUGUCUCUGGAUGUACAAGUCAACACUGAAUGUGUCACCAGUGGUAGUAACAUCAAGGUCCAAAAUCCUCACAAGGUAUGUUUCUGAACACCAACUUGAACCGUGAUUUGUUCAUUUAUUGGACUAACUUUUGUUUCACCAUUUUUUGUUUGCAUGUUUGUCAUGGCUUCAUCAUUUCUCUUUUCAGAAAGAUGGGCAAAAUAGAGGUUAUUGGUCUGCUAGCUGCCCACUCCAAGGCAUAAGAAUCUCGGUGGUCACCAUAUUGACAACAGGCCCUGCUCCGCCGUGAGCGCAACGAGGGGCUGGCAGCAGAAGACCGCGAAAUUACGCCAACCGGACCUGUCAAAAGAGCCUCCCUGACGGCUGCGUGUAGUUGGGUGCAUUCGACGUGGGCUGCUUUUCCACAAGAUGUCGUGGUGCGGUCGUUUGCCAAAUGUGAAAUUUCGCUGGACGACGACGCACUGUGGGACCGCAGCAACGAUGACGAUGGCAGCACUAGUGAAGACGAGUAGUCCAGUGACCACGUCAGCUACUAAUAAAUUUUCGUUAUCGAAUGUGCCCUUGGGUAUGCUCCUUUUUUUUUUUUUUUUUCCUGUCACAUGAUAUAGGGGGGGGGGGGGGGGUCGACUUACAUUCGAGUCGACUUACAAUCGUGUAAAUACGGUAGGGAUGAAGCAUCGGAAAUAUGAGCACAGGCCGAUGAAGCUGCGAAGCUAUUUCAUGGUGGUUGGUUUUAGGGAACUCGGAUACGGCGCUAAGUUUUGUGGGGCCCGGGAGGAUACAGUCUUUUGACCUAGAUGGCCGAGAAUAGUAAGCGUGCAAGUGCCGAAGUGGCAUCUCUUCAAAUUUAGUUGCAGUCCUACAGUGGAGAGGCACGCAAGAACUUGCUCGUGGCGGCUGAGGUGCGAUGCGAAGUCAGUGGAAAAAACCACAAUGUCAUCUAAAUAACAGAGGCACGUUCAGCCCUCGAAGAAUGGUGUCCAUCAUUCGCUCGAAAGUGGCAGGCGCAUUGCAGAGGCCGAAUGGCAUGACAGUGAAUUCAUAUAGCCCAUCGGGAGUUACAAAGGCAGUCUUUUGGCGUUCGGCCUCUGCCAUUGGCACUUGCCAGUACCCGGAGCGUAGAUCCAGCGAGGAAAAAAAGUCCACUCCUUGCAGACUGUCCAAGGCAUCGUCGAUGCGUGGCAGAGGAUAGACAUCUUCGAGCGUUAUUCGGUUAAGGGGGCAAUAGUCAACGCAGAACCGAAUGGAGCCAUCUUUUUUUUAAUGAGGACAACCGGAGAUGCCCAGGGACUGUUAGAGGGCUGGAUGAUGCCAUGCUCCAGCAUGUCGUCAAUGGGCUGGUCGAUGACACGGCGUUCAGCGGCCGACACACGAUACAGACGCUGGCGCAAUGGUGUUUGUUGACUGGUGUCGAUACGGUGAACGACUGCGGACGCUCUGCCCAAGGAUGGUUGGCCAAUGUCAAGUGCUGUGCAGGUGUGACUUCUGCGUUGAUGGCACGUCUCCAGGAGCAUCGGUCGUGGCGGGAGGAGUGUUGGCACAAAUCGGAAGUGAUGCCGUAUCACCAAACAUGGGGGCCGGAAGAAUGCAAUCGAAAGGUUCAGAGGUACCCAGAAACUUGCCGCGGAGUAGGGUUGAUGGGCAGGCGGAUGAAUUGCACACGUAAAGGGCAGCAGAACCAUCGCAAAAAGUGACGACAGCAAAUGGAAGCAGAAAGUUCCGGCAGCGCACACAAGUGGCCGACGAUGUAAACUGAACAGAUGAGUUCGCAGCAGAGUUACAUGACACAGGAACCAGAGUGGCGGAGAAUGGUGCGAUAUCGAUAUCCGAGGCGGCAACAACUCUAGGAGAAUAAUGGUCGUCAGGGUCAAAACACGGCACUGAUAACGUAAGUUCAGCACGAGCGCAGUCGAUAAGAGCUUGAUUGACAGAUAGGAAAUUCCAUCCAAGAAUAACGUUGUGCGAGGAACUAGACAGGACGACAAAUUCGAUAACAUACAUAACACUUUGAAUGAUGACCCGGGCUGUGCACGACGCUGAAUGCGACACGAGGUUGCCGUACGGUGAGAAAGAGAGAUAAGAGGUAUGGUGACUUUGUUCAAAUUGCGGCAUAGCUUCUUUCUAAUAGAAACGGCGGCUCCGGUGUCGAUAAGUGCGUGAACGGUGACGCCGUCUACGAACAGUUCAAUUUCGUUGGCUGGUGCAGAAUGAGGCCUUGAAAUGUUUGACGUAAACGCAGUUCUUGCCUCUGGAACUGUGACUUAGUUUUCCUCUCGGGAUGGGCUGGGUUGGCGAACCAUCGGCGAAAUAGAUCAGCGACGUGGACAAGGCGACCGGCGUGAAUCGAAGGGGAGGCGAUUGUAAGACGAGUCCGGAGGAAGGUUAGAUUGGUCCUGACGCAGAAGUCGAACAGGCCUGUAGCUUGAGGCGCCCCCACUGUCAGGUAAAGAAGGGCUGCGACGGCGGCAGAAUCGUGCUACGUGGCCCGGAAAAUGGCAGGAAUAGCAUAUUGGCCGGUUAUCAGGUGUACGCCACGGGGACAACAGGGGCUUCAGUGGCCGAUUAAGGGACGACAAUCGGACGCGAAGGUGGCGGCGGCACAUGGAAGGUGCCGGUGACCCGGUAGGCAUCAGGAGCCAGAGGAGCGUAAGGCCAGGCGACAACGUCAGCGUAAGUUAGCGGUCCAGCUGCAGGCUGCGGAGAAGGGGCAGAUGGCAGCGCCACAGCAACUUGCGCCUGAAUGACAUGACGAAAUGAAGGAGCCAAGGGUGUCGACGGCUCGGGCGUGCUAUUCACCAGAGAGAGUUGGCGUGCGACUUCCUGACGGAAGAACUGCUUUAUCUCCGGCAUUAAAGCAGAGAUGUUGGCAGCGUCGCAGCCAAAAUCCAAUGGAGAUAAAUCCGCGGUGUCCUGCUGAGCAGCACGUGUGGAUGCACGCUGCAUGCGUAGCUCGUCGUACUGCUGACAAAGCUGUAUGACCUCGGCAAUCGUCCGGGGACUCUUCGCGACGAGCAUCUGGAAAGCAUGGUCAUUGAUGCCUUUCAUGACGUGCUUGAUCUUGUCAGCUUCGUCCAUAGAUGAGUUGACGUGCUUGCAGAGAGAGAUCACAUCUUCAGUAAACUGGUGAAGGUCUCGUCCUGGCGUUGAGCUCGACCACGCAAGCGCUGCUCAGCGCGGAGCCGGCGCACGGCAGGACGGCCAAAGACCUCAGCCAAAGUUGUCGUGAAAGCCGACCAGGUGGUAAAAUCGGCUUAAUGAUUGCGGAACCAUAGGUUUGCCAUGUCAGUCAAGUAAAAUAUGACAUUUAUGAGCUUGGCGCGGUUGUCCCACUUAUUAUAGGCGCUUACACGGUCAUAUUCGGCGAGCCAGUCUUCCACGUCAUGGUCAUCUGUGCCACUAAAUAUUGCCGGAUGACGCCAGAGCAGACGAUGGCCGGGGGCACAGGAGCAGCAGCCUGGGACAGUCCCGGUUCAUCCAUUGCAGUAGCUGGUGGUAGCGUCCGACUGCAGAGUUCCCGGAUGUCAAAGAGAAACCCAGCGCCUCCACCAAAUGCAAUGGGGGUGUUCGCCUAGCAGCACUCUAUAGUUAUAGGUUGUAGCAGUAGGCUUAAACAGGUCGGCGUUCUAUCGAAACGGGGAAGCAAGUACUUCUCGUUGUCUUCUUCUCAUUCACUAGCACCAUGCCCUCUGCCCAGUGCCUUAAGUACAGUUUAUUUAGUUUCCUUGUUUAUUCACAUAAUAUUUGCCGAAGUCCUUGUAAACGCUGUUGUCUCCGUAACUUUUCUUGCGUUCCUACAAGUACUCCAUUUGUGUCAAAGCAUUUACUGCCGCAUCUGAACACUAAACGUGCAGCAUAAGUAUCAAGAGCAGACAAUAUGUGCUGCAAAAUUAGCACGUUUUUUUUUCCCCCUGGACUACGUGCCACUCACCAAUGUGUUAUCAAAACAGUGGGGCAUUGCAGCUAGAGCAUAUCUUGCUGACAGCACAUCUUCGCCGAGCACAUCUUUUUUUUUUAUGUACCUGAAAUUGCCAAACGCAGACAAUAUACGUAUAGUAUGAAACACAUCAAGCCGCACUGUACGCAGCUACGAGUACAGCUGUAGCCCAGCAUAAAUAUUGCCUGCAGUAUCACUCUCCCUGCUGUACCGGCACGACAAACAUGAUGAGAAAUAUUCGCUUGAUUUAGCUUUCAGUUCCAUUAAAUAGAUGGUUAUCUGUGAUUCUGUAGAUUGUAAACCUAGUGACCGACAACAUUCAGUCCACCUGACCUGUAUGAAAACUGUGAGCAUGUACUGCUUCAUUUACCAUUGACAAUAAACAAUGUAAGCUUAG
Long non-coding RNA from Dermacentor andersoni, 5557 nucleotides. RefSeq lists it as uncharacterized. The record is from RefSeq and is a predicted model, not a curated record. Lineage: Eukaryota; Metazoa; Arthropoda; Arachnida; Ixodida; Ixodidae.